UAGGGAAUCUUCCGCAAUGGACGAAAGUCUGACGGAGCAACGCCGCGUGAGCGAAGAAGGUCUUCGGAUCGUAAAGCUCUGUUGUUAGGGAAGAACAAGUACCGUUCGAAUAGGGCGGUACCUUGACGGUACCUAACCAGAAAGCCACGGCUAACUACGUGCCAGCAGCCGCGGUAAUACGUAGGUGGCAAGCGUUAUCCGGAAUUAUUGGGCGUAAAGCGCGCGCAGGCGGUCCUUUAAGUCUGAUGUGAAAGCCCACGGCUCAACCGUGGAGGGUCAUUGGAAACUGGGGGACUUGAGUGCAGAAGAGGAGAGCGGAAUUCCACGUGUAGCGGUGAAAUGCGUAGAGAUGUGGAGGAACACCAGUGGCGAAGGCGGCUCUCUGGUCUGUAACUGACGCUGAGGCGCGAAAGCGUGGGGAGCGAACAGG
Molecule: ribosomal RNA, 430 nt
Filed under: uncultured bacterium
Lineage: Bacteria
Description: bacterial SSU rRNA
Rfam family: Bacterial small subunit ribosomal RNA
Source: RNAcentral